Molecule: long non-coding RNA, 1535 nt
Filed under: Sarcophilus harrisii (Tasmanian devil)
Lineage: Eukaryota; Metazoa; Chordata; Mammalia; Dasyuromorphia; Dasyuridae
Description: lncRNA (ENSSHAG00000020640.1)
Source: RNAcentral
UGAGGUCUCUGGCCACAAGAAUUUGACUCAAUCUCUGAACCAUUUUUAAUUUAUAUAUUUGAUUUAUUGAAUAAAGUUGCUAUUUAUAUAGUUUUCAAAGAGGACUUACCUAUUUAAUUUGAACAAAAAGUUUUCAUUCUUCUAGAACAAAAUGAGGUCCCAAAAAUUAUUUGUAACCACAAAAGUGCCAGAGGCAGGAUUUAAGUCAUUCAUUUUUCUUGGGAAUCGACUUUUAAUACCAAGUUUGGGUAAGCAAACACAUAAGCAUAAGAUUGGGUUUUUUGGGGGGUGGGAAAUCUUAUCUGCUUUAUUUUUAGAAUUCUUUCACAGAGCUUAUUAUUUCAAAAGGGGAAGCGGUACUGGAAUAUUAACUUUCACUGCCCUGGAAAAUUUUUUUCUUUUAAAUGUUAUUUUUUUAAACUUCAAAUGGCUGCAAAUUACUUUAUUCAUCCUCAGGCCUUUCAAAUAAAAAGUAGAUUCAUCAAGUCUAAUUUGUCAGCACGUUUAAACGCAGAUGAAGAUAUGCUCCUCUGUAAAGCCAAUUUUGUUGGAAUUCCAGAUCUAAUUGGUAUAAUGAACUUCUGGCGAGAAAAUCCUACCAUUUAUCAGCAACUUAAACAAUUUAACUUUAGCUCUAAAAGGUUUAAGUGACUCACCUAGGUCAUAUGGAAACAAAUUCUGAAUUUAACGACUAAAUGCCUUCUCUCUAUCCACUAAGACAGGAUGACUCAUGACAAAGCUAAAUUUAAAAGAAAUAUGCAAAUAAAAACCUGAAGAUUUUGUAUAACAAAGUAAUAUCCUAGAGAUUAUCCCAAUAAGUCUCCAUAUACUACGUGUACACACACACACACACACCCACCAAUGAUGCCCAGUUUUUUUCAGCUCUUACCCGAGUUAAUCCUGUAACCCAAAUCAUGGGGGUUAAUUAAAUAACUCAUUUGCCUCAACACAAUUUAUUACCUAUUCCUACAAGCCUCAGCUAACAGAACUUUGGCCCCUAAUAACCAGAACAAGCUAGGAUUUUUCUAUCAUUCAAAACUAUCAAGUUCAGGGUAGUUAAAAUCAUAGUGUAGGUGGAAAAGGACUUUGAAAAUGAAGACAUCUGCAUUGAUCUUACACAUUACCAUCUUUUGAAGUGAGCCACUGAGAUUUCAGCAAAAAUGCAACAUCAAAUUUCUGUUCCAUGUAAAAUGUUAUGUAAUUAGGGUAUUCUGGUUAUCUCAAGGAAUUUAAAUACAACUCACACAAACUAUGCCGAAUAAAAUUUAAUUUUUAACAAUCAAGGUAUUUUUAUGAUCUUACAGUGCCUUAGUCAUCAUUGAUAUUUAAGUUCUACCAGGUUAAGUUUUUGUUCUGAUUUUCCAGAAUAAGCCCGAUAUUACCUCAAAAGAAUUUGUGCUUUUCCAAAUUUUCAAGUUUUAUUUAACCUAGUUGGAUAGAUUUAGUCUGGACUUUUCACUCCCUCUCCUCCCAUCCUCAAUUCUCUUGGUGGUACUCAAUUAAGCAUUGGUUAAUUUCACUCAUGGCACUAUGGA